Molecule: ribosomal RNA, 856 nt
Filed under: Lacticaseibacillus rhamnosus
Lineage: Bacteria; Bacillati; Bacillota; Bacilli; Lactobacillales; Lactobacillaceae
Description: bacterial SSU rRNA
Rfam family: Bacterial small subunit ribosomal RNA
Source: RNAcentral
UUGGCUGAAAGAUGGCGUAAGCUAUCGCUUUUGGAUGGACCCGCGGCGUAUUAGCUAGUUGGUGAGGUAACGGCUCACCAAGGCAAUGAUACGUAGCCGAACUGAGAGGUUGAUCGGCCACAUUGGGACUGAGACACGGCCCAAACUCCUACGGGAGGCAGCAGUAGGGAAUCUUCCACAAUGGACGCAAGUCUGAUGGAGCAACGCCGCGUGAGUGAAGAAGGCUUUCGGGUCGUAAAACUCUGUUGUUGGAGAAGAAUGGUCGGCAGAGUAACUGUUGUCGGCGUGACGGUAUCCAACCAGAAAGCCACGGCUAACUACGUGCCAGCAGCCGCGGUAAUACGUAGGUGGCAAGCGUUAUCCGGAUUUAUUGGGCGUAAAGCGAGCGCAGGCGGUUUUUUAAGUCUGAUGUGAAAGCCCUCGGCUUAACCGAGGAAGUGCAUCGGAAACUGGGAAACUUGAGUGCAGAAGAGGACAGUGGAACUCCAUGUGUAGCGGUGAAAUGCGUAGAUAUAUGGAAGAACACCAGUGGCGAAGGCGGCUGUCUGGUCUGUAACUGACGCUGAGGCUCGAAAGCAUGGGUAGCGAACAGGAUUAGAUACCCUGGUAGUCCAUGCCGUAAACGAUGAAUGCUAGGUGUUGGAGGGUUUCCGCCCUUCAGUGCCGCAGCUAACGCAUUAAGCAUUCCGCCUGGGGAGUACGACCGCAAGGUUGAAACUCAAAGGAAUUGACGGGGGCCCGCACAAGCGGUGGAGCAUGUGGUUUAAUUCGAAGCAACGCGAAGAACCUUACCAGGUCUUGACAUCUUUUGAUCACCUGAGAGAUCAGGUUUCCCCUUCGGGGGCAAAAUGACAGG